Long non-coding RNA from Magnolia sinica, 1754 nucleotides. RefSeq lists it as uncharacterized. NCBI's taxonomy places the organism in Eukaryota, Viridiplantae, Streptophyta, Magnoliopsida, Magnoliales, Magnoliaceae. The record is from RefSeq and is a predicted model, not a curated record. The transcript is spliced from 2 exons.
ACAUAGAAUAUGCCCCAUAAAGGCUGCCUUAUCAAGCCUUCCCAGACAUUAUCAUUGCCUUUUCAAUAAGAUGCCACUAGCUGUGGCUAAGGGGAUUGAGAAGAUCCGGAGAGACUUCCUUCGGGAAGGGCGUGAAGAGGGUGACAAAUUUCAUCUUGUCAAUUUGAAGGUGGUUCAAAGCCAAAAAAAGAAGGGGGUUCUUGGUUUGAGAAGAAUUGGUGAAUAAAAUUGGAUUCUUCUUACAAAAUGGUGGUGGUGGUUUGGUGAUGAGAUGGAAGCAUUGUAGUGAGAUCAUUUUCAAGAAAUAGUAUGACUGCAGUUGGCAACUUAUUCCCUAGUUGUAAUAUGGGUCCCAUGGGGUCUUUGGAUUUGGAAGGCCAUCAGCAUGACUGGAAGGAGAUCUGGUUAGGUUCUUCAAGCAUUGCGGAAAAGGUUGGCCUCAUAGUGGUUGAAGAAGCACAUGUUGAUGCAUUGCUGAGAUGGGUGCUAACAUUAGCUUUUUGUAUGGAUCACAAUUCUUCUUACAAAGAAUAUGAUGAUGGGCUGUUUGGGAAGAAAGAAAUGGCAGGUCUUUUAGCGGGAUUUCCAAAUCAGCAGAUUUUGUUGCUUCCAGAGCUAGAUUUCUAGUUGCUGAAUGGGCAGUUAAUGUAGUAAAUUUGAAGGACUGUAAUUUGCUGUUUUUAGGCUCUUAGUAGUCUGUGUAGCUCCCUCGGCUGUGCAGUCUACUGUUUUUGUGCUCCCUUUCGUUUAUUAUUAUGAUAUGUGACUUUUCGAAAAAAUAAAAUAAAAUGAAUAUGAUGAUGGCCAACAGGUGUCAUAUGUAUAGAAGUGAGGAAUCAGUGGAUCAUCUCAUCUUGCAUUACAAGGCUGUCAGAGUGAUUGGGAUCAGUUAUUUAUUUAUUAUUUUGUGCUUUUCAAGGUCUCGAGUGAGUGGAGGAGAGAUCCGUUUUGAAGCACAGUAGGUGUACUUGGUCACUGAUUCCCUAUGCCAUCAUUUGGGAGAUUUAGAAGAAAGGAAUGCUAGGAUCUUUAAAGACAAAUCAUCUGUUGUCUCCCUCCCUCCCUCCCUCCCUCCCUAGAGAUGAUAGGAUCACUAGGGCGGGCAAUGGGUUGAGUCAGCCCAACAGAUCAAUUGGCCCAACCUGCUUCUUACGCAAGGUUGGGUCAAGCUAAAUAUAUAGUGGAUUGGGCUUGGGUCCAAAAAUGUGGCGCAUUUGUGUAAAUGGAUCUAGCUGUACCUAUAAUGUUUAUCAAUGGGUUGGGGCAGAUGACCUACCUGACUCUGGCCUAAAAUCUGCACCACAUCACAAAUUAAUAGAUGAUGAGUAAUUGAUACGUACAAAUUAUGUAUGUAUGCUCAUAUGCAACCACUAACUGGGCAGGGUUGGGAAACCAGUAACCUUGUAUUACAUUUUUAAACCCAAGGGUGGUCAAAGCUGGGCCUGGCCCUAUGGGGAGGUCGAGCCGGAGCCAGUUAGAAUUAACUGGGUUGGGUCAAUCAAGUUAGGGUUCAAUGGAUUUUAAGUGGGUUGGGUCGGGCCACAGGGUAAUGGGUCAUGGCCUGGGUUCGUGUUGGAAUACUUAGCCAUUUUAGUAAAUGGGUCAGGCUUGGGCCGACCCCCCCACCCCCAGGAACCUGACACGAACCUACCCAUUGCCACCCCCAAGGGUCAACUCGUCUACAGGUCUUGUUUUGCUUGUUUGCUUAUUUUAAUAAAAUGAUAACUUUCUUUUUUCCAAAACAAAAAAAGAAA